Molecule: ribosomal RNA, 1415 nt
Filed under: Chara braunii
Lineage: Eukaryota; Viridiplantae; Streptophyta; Charophyceae; Charales; Characeae
Description: SSU rRNA
Rfam family: Eukaryotic small subunit ribosomal RNA
Source: RNAcentral
CCACCGCCUGUUGCUGCCCGAUGCCGUUCAGUUUGACUGCGCGGAUGGGGCGCAACGCUCCCGGCCGCGCUGCGCCCCCCUCCCAUUUUUCGAGCUGCCAGUGCGCCCUAAAGCUCCCAAAUUCUGAGUGUUGCUGUCCUCUUGCCUGUAGUCUGUUGUACUGAUGACAACACGGGGGUUCUUGGCAGCGCUUAAAGAGUAUGGACAAAGAUUGGAGACCAAAGAUGGGGGGGCGAUAGGGGACAGCGGGGCCAUGUGUUAUCCACAGGGUUUAAUGCAGGGUUAAGGCAAGGGUCGGGCACUGCUAUGAAAUGAAGCAUGCACAUAUGGAAUACAGUCAUGGGCUAUAUACAGGGUCAGCUGCAUGGUUUAAACUUUAAAGCAAGGUUCUGCUUUGCUACGGAGAAUAACGCGAUAGGACUCUGGUCCUGUUUCGUUGGUCUUCGGGAUUGGAGUAAUGAUUAAUAGAGACAGUUGGGGGCAUUUGUAUUCCGUUGUCAGAGGUGAAAUUCUUGGAUUUAUGGAUGACGAACUUCUGCGAAAGCAUUUGCCAAGGAUGUUCUCAUUAAUCAAGAACAAAAGUUGGGGAUCGAAGACGAUCAAAUACCGUCCAAGUCUGAACCAUAAACGAUGCCGACUAGGGAUUGGCGGAUGUCUAUUGGAUGACUCUGCCAGCACCUUGUGAGAAAUCAAAGUUUACGGGUUCCGGGGGGAGUAUGGUCGCAAGGCUGAAACUUAAGGAAUUGACAGAAGGGUGCCACCAGCCGGGCACCAGGCUUGAAGCCUGCGGCUUAAUUUGACUCGACACGGGGAAACUCAUCGGUCCAGACAUAGCAAGGAUUGACAGAUUGAGACUCUUUUGAGAGCUCUUUCUUGAUUCUAUGGGUGGUGGUGCAUGACCGUUCUUAGUUGGUGGAGUGAUUUGUCUGGUUAAUUCCGUUAACGAACGAGACUCAACCUGUUAAAUAGCUAUGCGGGGAUCUUUCCUCGUGGCCAGCUUCUUAGAGGGACUGUUGGACGACUAGCCAACGGAAGUUUGAGGCAGUAACAGGUCUGUGAUGCCCUUAGAUGUUUUGGGCCGCACGUGUGCUACACUGAUGAAUCCAGCGAAUCACUUGCCUGGGUCGAAAGGUCCGAGUAACCUUCUUAAGGUUCAUCGUGACAAGGAUAGAUUGUUGUAAUUAUCGAUCUUGAACGAGGAACGCCUAGCAAGCUUUAUCAACUCACACUGAUUAUGUCCCUGCCCUUUGUACACACCGCCCGUUGCUUCUACCGAUUGAAUGGUCUGGUGAAGUCUCUGGAUUGCGGUGAUCUCGGCGGUUUGCCGCUGGGGGUGCUGUGAGAAGUUCAUUGAACCUUAUCAUUUAGAGGAAGGCGAAGUCGUAACAAGGUUUCCGUAGGUGAACCUGCGGAAG